This 222-nucleotide ribosomal RNA is filed under the name uncultured Gardnerella sp. Its description in RNAcentral is "partial 16S ribosomal RNA". It matches the Rfam family "Bacterial small subunit ribosomal RNA", at positions 134 to 354 of the family's 1533-position model. The record is from RNAcentral. Lineage: Bacteria; Bacillati; Actinomycetota; Actinomycetes; Bifidobacteriales; Bifidobacteriaceae.
UGCUCCAGAAUAGCUCUUGGAAACGGGUGGUAAUGCUGGAUGCUCCAACUUGACGCAUGUCUUGUUGGGAAAGUGUUUAGUUGGCAUGGGAUGGGGUCGCGUCCUAUCAGCUUGUAGGCGGGGUAAUGGCCCACCUAGGCUUCGACGGGUAGCCGGCCUGAGAGGGCGGACGGCCACAUUGGGACUGAGAUACGGCCCAGACUCCUACGGGAGGCAGCAGAC